Molecule: ribosomal RNA, 373 nt
Filed under: uncultured organism
Description: partial 16S ribosomal RNA
Rfam family: Bacterial small subunit ribosomal RNA
Source: RNAcentral
GUAGGUGGCAAGCGUUGUCCGGAAUUAUUGGGCGUAAAGCGCGCGCAGGCGGUCCUUUAAGUCUGAUGUGAAAGCCCACGGCUCAACCGUGGAGGGGUCAUUGGAAACUGGGGGACUUGAGUACAGAAGAGGAAAGCGGAAUUCCAAGUGUAGCGGUGAAAUGCGUAGAGAUUUGGAGGAACACCAGUGGCGAAGGCGGCUUUCUGGUCUGUAACUGACGCUGAGGCGCGAAAGCGUGGGGAGCAAACAGGAUUAGAUACCCUGGUAGUCCACGCCGUAAACGAUGAGUGCUAAGUGUUAGGGGGUUUCCCGCCCCCUUAGUGCUGCAGCUAACGCAUUAAGCACUCCGCCUGGGGAGUACGCCGCAAGGCUG